ACGGGGGGAGGAAAGUAGGGGAUCGCAAGAUGAAAGCGGGGGACCGCAAGGCCUCGCGCGAGAGGAGCGGCCGAUGCCGGAUUAGCUAGUUGGUGGGGUAAAAGCCUACCAAGGCGACAAUCCGUAGCUGGUCUGAGAGGACGACCAGCCACACUGGGACUGAGACACGGCCCAGACUCCUACGGGAGGCAGCAGUGGGGAAUUUUGGACAAUGGGCGAAAGCCUGAUCCAGCCAUGCCGCGUGAGUGAAGAAGGCCUUCGGGUUGUAAAGCUCUUUCGCAAGGAAAGAAAACUUACCUACUAAUACUAGGUGAGGAUGACGGUACCUUGAUAAGAAGCACCGGCUAACUACGUGCCAGCAGCCGCGGUAAUACGUAGGGUGCGAGCGUUAAUCGGAAUUACUGGGCGUAAAGCGUGCGCAGGCGGUUUCGUAAGUCAGACGUGAAAUCCCCGGGCUCAACCUGGGAACUGCGUUUGAAACUACAAAGCUAG
This 492-nucleotide ribosomal RNA is filed under the name uncultured Nitrosospira sp. RNAcentral describes it as "bacterial SSU rRNA". It matches the Rfam family "Bacterial small subunit ribosomal RNA", at positions 157 to 644 of the family's 1533-position model. Lineage: Bacteria; Pseudomonadati; Pseudomonadota; Betaproteobacteria; Nitrosomonadales; Nitrosomonadaceae. The record is from RNAcentral.